UCCGAAUUGGUGUAGUGGCUAACAUUUGACGCUCUCACGGUUCGAAUAAUAUCAAUUCGAUCCAGAAGAUCCGUCAAGCCCGGGGUUCGAUUCCCCGAUUCGGAG
Non-coding RNA from Hypoxylon sp. CI-4A, 105 nucleotides. NCBI's taxonomy places the organism in Eukaryota, Fungi, Ascomycota, Sordariomycetes, Xylariales, Hypoxylaceae. The record is from the annotation of a GenBank genome assembly.